CGGCAUUAAGUGCUUGCACUUUUUGGACGUCGACCGGCGCACGGGUGAGUAACGCGUAUCCAACCUUCCCAUGACUAAGGGAUAACCUGCCGAAAGGCAGACUAAUACCUUAUGGUCUUCACUGACGGCAUCAGAUGUGAAGUAAAGAUUUAUCGGUUAUGGAUGGGGAUGCGUCUGAUUAGCUUGUUGGCGGGGUAACGGCCCACCAAGGCNACGAUCAGUAGGGGUUCUGAGAGGAAGGUCCCCCACAUUGGAACUGAGACACGGUCCAAACUCCUACGGGAGGCAGCAGUGAGGAAUAUUGGUCAAUGGGCGAGAGCCUGAACCAGCCAAGUAGCGUGCAGGAUGACGGCCCUAUGGGUUGUAAACUGCUUUUGUAUGGGGAUAAAGUCANUCACGUGUGAUUGUUUGCAGGUACCAUACGAAUAAGGACCGGCUAAUUCCGUGCCAGCAGCCGCGGUAAUACGGAAGGUCCGGGCGUUAUCCGGAUUUAUUGGGUUUAAAGGGAGCGUAGGCUGGAGAUUAAGUGUGUUGUGAAAUGUAGACGCUCAACGUCUGACUUGCAGCGCAUACUGGUUUCCUUGAGUACGCACAACGUUGGCGGAAUUCGUCGUGUAGCGGUGAAAUGCUUAGAUAUGACGAAGAACUCCGAUUGCGAAGGCAGCUGACGGGAGCGCAACUGACGCUGAAGCUCGAAGGUGCGGGUAUCGAACAGGAUUAGAUACCCUGGUAGUCCGCACAGUAAACGAUGGAUGCCCGCUGUUGGUACUUGGUAUCAGCGGCUAAGCGAAAGCAUUAAGCAUCCCACCUGGGGAGUACGCCGGCAACGGUGAAACUCAAAGGAAUUGACGGGGGCCCGCACAAGCGGAGGAACAUGUGGUUUAAUUCGAUGAUACGCGAGGAACCUUACCCGGGCUUGAAUUGCAGAGGAAGGAUUUAGAGAUAAUGACGCCCUUCGGGGUCUCUGUGAAGGUGCUGCAUGGUUGUCGUCAGCUCGUGCCGUGAGGUGUCGGCUUAAGUGCCAUAACGAGCGCAACCCCUGUCUUUAGUUGCCAUCAGGUUAAGCUGGGCACUCUGGAGAUACUGCCACCGUAAGGUGUGAGGAAGGUGGGGAUGACGUCAAAUCAGCACGGCCCUUACGUCCGGGGCUACACACGUGUUACAAUGGCCGGUACAGAGGGACGGUGUAAUGUAAAUUGCAUC
Molecule: ribosomal RNA, 1203 nt
Filed under: Prevotella histicola JCM 15637 = DNF00424
Lineage: Bacteria; Pseudomonadati; Bacteroidota; Bacteroidia; Bacteroidales; Prevotellaceae
Description: bacterial SSU rRNA
Rfam family: Bacterial small subunit ribosomal RNA
Source: RNAcentral